UCGCGGCCUAUCAGCUUUGUUGGUGAGGUAACGGCUCACCAAGGCAUCGACGGGUAGCUGGUCUGAGAGGAUGAUCAGCCACACUGGCACUGAGACACGGCCCAGACUCCUACGGGAGGCAGCAGUGGGGAAUAUUGCACAAUGGGCGAAAGCCUGAUGCAGCAACGCCGCGUGCGGGAAGAAGGCCCUAGGGUUGUAAACCGCUUUCAGCAGGGAAGAAAAUGACGGUACCUGCAGAAGAAGGUGCGGCCAACUACGUGCCAGCAGCCGCGGUGACACGUAGGCACCAAGCGUUGUCCGGAUUUAUUGGGCGUAAAGAGCUCGUAGGCGGUUCAGUAAGUCGGGUGUGAAAACUCUGGGCUCAACCCAGAGACGCCACCCGAUACUGCUGUGACUUGAGUACGGUAGGGGAGCGGGGAAUUCCUGGUGUAGCGGUGAAAUGCGCAGAUAUCAGGAGGAACACCAGUGGCGAAGGCGCCGCUCUGGGCCGAAACUGACGCUGAGGAGCGAAAGCGUGGGUAGCAAACAGGAUUAGAUACCCUGGUAGUCCACGCCGUAAACGUUGGGCACUAGGUGUGGGUCUCAACCAACGAGAUCCGCGCCGUCGCUAACGCAUUAAGUGCCCCGCCUGGGGAGUACGG
RNAcentral lists this ribosomal RNA (641 nucleotides) under uncultured Actinomycetes bacterium. RNAcentral describes it as "bacterial SSU rRNA". It matches the Rfam family "Bacterial small subunit ribosomal RNA", at positions 231 to 885 of the family's 1533-position model. Lineage: Bacteria; Bacillati; Actinomycetota; Actinomycetes. The record is from RNAcentral.